AACUUUCGGCAAUGGAUCUCUUGGCUCUCGCAUCGAUGAAGAACGCAGCGAAAUGCGAUACGUAAUGUGAAUUGCAGAAUGCAGUGAAUCAUCGAAUCUUUGAACGCACCUUGCGCCCCUUGGUAUUCCGAGGGGCACACCCGUUUGAGUGUCGUGAAUACUCUCAACCUUCUUGGUUUCUUUGACCACGAAGGCUUGGACUUUGGAGGUUUUUCUUGCUGGCCUCUUUAGAAGCCAGCUCCUCCUAAAUGAAUGGGUGGGGUCCGCUUUGCUGAUCCUCGACGUGAUAAGCAUUUCUUCUACGUCUCAGUGUCAGCUCGGAACCCGCUUUCCAACCGUCUUUGGACAAAGACAAUGUUCGAGUUGCGACUCGACCUUACAAACCUUGACCUCAAAUCGGGUGAGACUACCCGCUGAACUUAAGCAUAUCAAUAAGCGGAGGCU
RNAcentral lists this unclassified non-coding RNA (444 nucleotides) under uncultured Russula. Its description in RNAcentral is "sequence contains ITS2". The stretch from base 1 to 154 matches the Rfam family "5.8S ribosomal RNA". The record is from RNAcentral. Lineage: Eukaryota; Fungi; Basidiomycota; Agaricomycetes; Russulales; Russulaceae.